Molecule: ribosomal RNA, 755 nt
Filed under: uncultured Prevotellaceae bacterium
Lineage: Bacteria; Pseudomonadati; Bacteroidota; Bacteroidia; Bacteroidales; Prevotellaceae
Description: bacterial SSU rRNA
Rfam family: Bacterial small subunit ribosomal RNA
Source: RNAcentral
GCAGCAUGUUGGUUGCUUGCAACCGAUGAUGGCGACCGGCGCACGGGUGAGUAACGCGUAUCCAACUUGGCUUAUACUUAGGGAUAACCCGUUGAAAGACGGCCUAAUACCUAAUGGUUUAUGACGGUUGCAUGACUGUUAUAAUAAAGAUUUAUCGGUAUAAGAUAGGGAUGCGUCUGAUUAGUUAGUUGGUGAGGUAACGGCUCACCAAGGCAUCGAUCAGUAGGGGUUCUGAGAGGAAGGUCCCCCACAUUGGAACUGAGACACGGUCCAAACUCCUACGGGAGGCAGCAGUGAGGAAUAUUGGUCAAUGGACGUAAGUCUGAACCAGCCAAGUAGCGUGCAGGGAUGACGGCCCUAUGGGUUGUAAACUGCUUUUAUGUGAGAAUAAAGUUAACUACGUGUAGUUAUUUGCAUGUAUCACAUGAAUAAGGACCGGCUAAUUCCGUGCCAGCAGCCGCGGUAAUACGGAAGGUCCCGGCGUUAUCCGGAUUUAUUGGGUUUAAAGGGAGCGUAGGCCGUUUGGUAAGCGUGCUGUGAAAUUUAGAGGCUCAACCUCUACCGUGCAGCGCGAACUGUCAGACUUGAGUGCGUAGUAGGUAGGCGGAAUUCGUGGUGUAGCGGUGAAAUGCUUAGAUAUCACGAAGAACUCCGAUUGCGAAGGCAGCUUACCGUAUCGCAACUGACGCUGAUGCUCGAAGGUGCGGGUAUCGAACAGGAUUAGAUACCCUGGUAGUCCGCACAGUAAACGAUGG